ACGGGGGGUGCAAGCGUUGUUCGGAAUUAUUGGGCGUAAAGAGCGUGUAGGCGGCCUGAUAAGUCAGAUGUGAAAGCCCUAGGCUCAACCUAGGAAGUGCAUUUGAAACUGUCAGGCUUGAGGAGGGGAGAGGGAAGUGGAAUUCCUGGUGUAGAGGUGAAAUUCGUAGAUAUCGGGAGGAACGCCGGUGGCGAAGGCGGCUUCCUGGCCCGAUACUGACGCUGAGGCGCGAGAGCGUGGGUAGCAAACAG
RNAcentral lists this ribosomal RNA (251 nucleotides) under uncultured prokaryote. RNAcentral's name for it is "partial 16S rRNA". It matches the Rfam family "Bacterial small subunit ribosomal RNA", at positions 525 to 775 of the family's 1533-position model. The record is from RNAcentral.